ACGCUCGACACCUACGGGGAGGGAGCGGUGGGGAAUAUUGCACAAUGGGGGAAACCCUGAUGCAGCGACGCCGCGUGAGCGAAGAAGUAUUUCGGUAUGUAAAGCUCUAUCAGCAGGGAAGAAACUGACGGUACCUGACUAAGAAGCACCGGCUAACUACGUCNCANCACGCCGGACGUAUCNGNGGCGGCGUGGAACGAGGC
Molecule: ribosomal RNA, 203 nt
Filed under: uncultured bacterium
Lineage: Bacteria
Description: partial 16S ribosomal RNA
Rfam family: Bacterial small subunit ribosomal RNA
Source: RNAcentral